This 253-nucleotide ribosomal RNA is filed under the name uncultured bacterium. RNAcentral describes it as "partial 16S ribosomal RNA". It matches the Rfam family "Bacterial small subunit ribosomal RNA", at positions 524 to 776 of the family's 1533-position model. The record is from RNAcentral.
UACGGAGGGGGCUAGCGUUGUUCGGAAUUACUGGGCGUAAAGCGCAGGUAGGCGGAUCAGAAAGUCAGAGGUGAAAUCCCAGGGCUCAACCUUGGAACUGCCUUUGAAACUCCUGGUCUUGAGGUCGAGAGAGGUGAGUGGAAUUCCGAGUGUAGAGGUGAAAUUCGUAGAGAUUCGGAGGAACACCAGUGGCGAAGGCGGCUCACUGGCUCGAUACUGACGAUGAGGUGCGAAAGAGUGGGGAGCAAACAGG